This 1006-nucleotide ribosomal RNA is filed under the name Klebsiella pneumoniae. RNAcentral describes it as "bacterial SSU rRNA". It matches the Rfam family "Bacterial small subunit ribosomal RNA", at positions 1 to 998 of the family's 1533-position model. Lineage: Bacteria; Pseudomonadati; Pseudomonadota; Gammaproteobacteria; Enterobacterales; Enterobacteriaceae. The record is from RNAcentral.
AAAUUGAAGAGUUUGAUCAUGGCUCAGAUUGAACGCUGGCGGCAGGCCUAACACAUGCAAGUCGAGCGGUAGCACAGAGAGCUUGCUCUCGGGUGACGAGCGGCGGACGGGUGAGUAAUGUCUGGGAAACUGCCUGAUGGAGGGGGAUAACUACUGGAAACGGUAGCUAAUACCGCAUAAUGUCGCAAGACCAAAGUGGGGGACCUUCGGGCCUCAUGCCAUCAGAUGUGCCCAGAUGGGAUUAGCUAGUAGGUGGGGUAACGGCUCACCUAGGCGACGAUCCCUAGCUGGUCUGAGAGGAUGACCAGCCACACUGGAACUGAGACACGGUCCAGACUCCUACGGGAGGCAGCAGUGGGGAAUAUUGCACAAUGGGCGCAAGCCUGAUGCAGCCAUGCCGCGUGUGUGAAGAAGGCCUUCGGGUUGUAAAGCACUUUCAGCGGGGAGGAAGGCGGUAAGGUUAAUAACCUCAUCGAUUGACGUUACCCGCAGAAGAAGCACCGGCUAACUCCGUGCCAGCAGCCGCGGUAAUACGGAGGGUGCAAGCGUUAAUCGGAAUUACUGGGCGUAAAGCGCACGCAGGCGGUCUGUCAAGUCGGAUGUGAAAUCCCCGGGCUCAACCUGGGAACUGCAUUCGAAACUGGCAGGCUAGAGUCUUGUAGAGGGGGGUAGAAUUCCAGGUGUAGCGGUGAAAUGCGUAGAGAUCUGGAGGAAUACCGGUGGCGAAGGCGGCCCCCUGGACAAAGACUGACGCUCAGGUGCGAAAGCGUGGGGAGCAAACAGGAUUAGAUACCCUGGUAGUCCACGCCGUAAACGAUGUCGAUUUGGAGGUUGUGCCCUUGAGGCGUGGCUUCCGGAGCUAACGCGUUAAAUCGACCGCCUGGGGAGUACGGCCGCAAGGUUAAAACUCAAAUGAAUUGACGGGGGCCCGCACAAGCGGUGGAGCAUGUGGUUUAAUUCGAUGCAACGCGAAGAACCUUACCUGGUCUUGACAUCCACAGAACUU